This 706-nucleotide ribosomal RNA is filed under the name Enterococcus faecalis. RNAcentral describes it as "bacterial SSU rRNA". It matches the Rfam family "Bacterial small subunit ribosomal RNA", at positions 1 to 679 of the family's 1533-position model. The record is from RNAcentral. Lineage: Bacteria; Bacillati; Bacillota; Bacilli; Lactobacillales; Enterococcaceae.
AUUAUGAGAGUUUGAUCCUGGCUCAGGACGAACGCUGGCGGCGUGCCUAAUACAUGCAAGUCGAACGCUUCUUUCCUCCCGAGUGCUUGCACUCAAUUGGAAAGAGGAGUGGCGGACGGGUGAGUAACACGUGGGUAACCUACCCAUCAGAGGGGGAUAACACUUGGAAACAGGUGCUAAUACCGCAUAACAGUUUAUGCCGCAUGGCAUAAGAGUGAAAGGCGCUUUCGGGUGUCGCUGAUGGAUGGACCCGCGGUGCAUUAGCUAGUUGGUGAGGUAACGGCUCACCAAGGCCACGAUGCAUAGCCGACCUGAGAGGGUGAUCGGCCACACUGGGACUGAGACACGGCCCAGACUCCUACGGGAGGCAGCAGUAGGGAAUCUUCGGCAAUGGACGAAAGUCUGACCGAGCAACGCCGCGUGAGUGAAGAAGGUUUUCGGAUCGUAAAACUCUGUUGUUAGAGAAGAACAAGGACGUUAGUAACUGAACGUCCCCUGACGGUAUCUAACCAGAAAGCCACGGCUAACUACGUGCCAGCAGCCGCGGUAAUACGUAGGUGGCAAGCGUUGUCCGGAUUUAUUGGGCGUAAAGCGAGCGCAGGCGGUUUCUUAAGUCUGAUGUGAAAGCCCCCGGCUCAACCGGGGAGGGUCAUUGGAAACUGGGAGACUUGAGUGCAGAAGAGGAGAGUGGAAUUCCAUGUGUAGC